AAAAAACNAUUCNCNUNGAGGCUCUCUGGUGAAUCAUGAUAACUAGUCGAAUCGACAGGCCUUGUGCCGGCGAUGGCUCAUUCAAAUUUCUUCCCUAUCAACUUUCGAUGUUUGGGUAUUGGCCAAACAUGGUGGCAACGGGUAACGGAGGGUUAGGGCUCGACCCCGGAGAAGGAGCCUGAGAAACGGCUACUACAUCCAAGGAAGGCAGCAGGCGCGCAAAUUACCCAAUCCCGACACGGGGAGGUAGUGACAAUAAAUACUGAUACAGGGCUCUUUUGGGUCUUGUAAUCGGAAUGAGUACAAUUUAAAUCCCUUAACGAGGAACAAUUGGAGGGCAAGUCUGGUGCCAGCAGCCGCGGUAAUUCCAGCUCCAAUAGCGUAUAUUAAAGUUGUUGUGGUUAAAAAGCUCGUAGUUGAACCUUGGGCCUGGCUGGCCGGUCCGCCUCACCGCGUGCACUGGUCCGGCCGGGCCUUUCCCUCUGCGGAACCCCAUGCCCUUCACUGGGUGUGGCGGGGAAACAGGACUUUUACUUUGAAAAAAUUAGAGUGCUCAAGGCAGGCCUAUGCUCGAAUACAUUAGCAUGGAAUAAUAGAAUAGGACGUGUGGUUCUAUUUUGUUGGUUUCUAGGACCGCCGUAAUGAUUAAUAGGGACAGUCGGGGGCAUCAGUAUUCAAUUGUCAGAGGUGAAAUUCUUGGAUUUAUUGAAGACUAACUACUGCGAAAGCAUUUGCCAAGGAUGUUUUCAUUAAUCANGAACGAAAGUUAG
Molecule: ribosomal RNA, 770 nt
Filed under: Trichoderma cf. reesei 13/HC1
Lineage: Eukaryota; Fungi; Ascomycota; Sordariomycetes; Hypocreales; Hypocreaceae
Description: SSU rRNA
Rfam family: Eukaryotic small subunit ribosomal RNA
Source: RNAcentral